ACGAAGGGUGCAAGCGUUACUCGGAAUUACUGGGCGUAAAGCGUGCGUAGGUGGUUCGUUAAGUCCGAUGUGAAAGCCCUGGGCUCAACCUGGGAAUGGCAUUGGAUACUGGCGGGCUAGAGUGCGGUAGAGGGUAGUGGAAUUCCCGGUGUAGCAGUGAAAUGCGUAGAGAUCGGGAGGAACAUCCGUGGCGAAGGCGACCAUCUGGACGGACACUGACGCUGAGGCGCGAAAGCGUGGGGAGCAAGCAGGA
Molecule: ribosomal RNA, 253 nt
Filed under: uncultured prokaryote
Description: partial 16S ribosomal RNA
Rfam family: Bacterial small subunit ribosomal RNA
Source: RNAcentral